UUAGAGUUUGAUCCUGGCUCAGGAUGAACGCUAGCGGCAGGCUUAACACAUGCAAGUCGAGGGGCAGCGAGAUCAGUGCUUGCACUGAUUGUCGGCGACCGGCGCACGGGUGCGUAACGCGUAUGCAACCUACCCAUUACAGGGGGAUAACACUGAGAAAUCGGUACUAAUACCCCAUAACAUCCAGGGAGGCAUCUUCUUGGGUUGAAAACUCCGGUGGUAAUGGAUGGGCAUGCGUUGUAUUAGUUAGUUGGUGGGGUAACGGCUCACCAAGACAACGAUACAUAGGGGGACUGAGAGGUUAACCCCCCACAUUGGUACUGAGACACGGACCAAACUCCUACGGGAGGCAGCAGUGAGGAAUAUUGGUCAAUGGACGCAAGUCUGAACCAGCCAUGCCGCGUGCAGGAAGACGGCUCUAUGAGUUGUAAACUGCUUUUGUACGAGGGUAAACGCAGAUACGCGUAUCUGUCUGAAAGUAUCGUACGAAUAAGGAUCGGCUAACUCCGUGCCAGCAGCCGCGGUAAUACGGAGGAUUCAAGCGUUAUCCGGAUUUAUUGGGUUUAAAGGGUGCGUAGGCGGUCGGAUAAGUUAGAGGUGAAACCCCGGGGCUCAACUUCGGAAUUGCCUCUGAUACUGUUCGGCUAGAGAGUAGUUGCGGUAGGCGGAAUGUAUGGUGUAGCGGUGAAAUGCUUAGAGAUCAUACAGAACACCGAUUGCGAAGGCAGCUUACCAAGCUACUUCUGACGUUGAGGCACGAAAGCGUGGGGAGCAAACAGGAUUAGAUACCCUGGUAGUCCACGCAGUAAACGAUGAUAACUCGUUGUCGGCGAUACAGUGUCGGUGACUAAGCGAAAGCGAUAAGUUAUCCACCUGGGGAGUACGUUCGCAAGAAUGAAACUCAAAGGAAUUGACGGGGGCACGCACAAGCGGAGGAACAUGUGGUUUAAUUCGAUGAUACGCGAGGAACCUUACCCGGGCUUGAAAGUUAGUGACGGAUCUUGAAAGAGGUCUUCCCUUCGGGGCACGAAACUAGGUGCUGCAUGGUUGUCGUCAGCUCGUGCCGUGAGGUGUCGGGUUAAGUCCCAUAACGAGCGCAACCCCUACCGUUAGUUGCCAGCAGGUCAAGCUGGGCACUCUGACGGGACUGCCGGUGUAAGCCGAGAGGAAGGUGGGGAUGACGUCAAAUCAGCACGGCCCUUACGUCCGGGGCUACACACGUGUUACAAUGGCAGGUACAGAGGGCAGCUACCCAGCGAUGGGAUGCGAAUCUCGAAAGCCUGUCUCAGUUCGGAUUGGAGGCUGAAACCCGCCUCCAUGAAGUUGGAUUCGCUAGUAAUCGCGCAUCAGCCAUGGCGCGGUGAAAACGUUCCCGGGCCUUGCACUCACCGCCCGUCA
This 1398-nucleotide ribosomal RNA is filed under the name uncultured bacterium. RNAcentral's name for it is "16S ribosomal RNA". It matches the Rfam family "Bacterial small subunit ribosomal RNA". The record is from RNAcentral.